AUCGCUUCUCAGCCUUUUGGCUAAGAUCAAGUGUAAAAUCCAUGUGCAUAUUAAAAAAGUAUUUUCAAAUAAAAUAAAAUAAAUAAUAAUGCCAUGAUUUUCAGUUCAGAGUCAUGGCAUGCUAGACCUUUU
This 132-nucleotide small nuclear RNA is filed under the name Rhinolophus ferrumequinum (greater horseshoe bat). Its description in RNAcentral is "U2 spliceosomal RNA (ENSRFEG00010000710.1)". It matches the Rfam family "U2 spliceosomal RNA". From Rfam's summary of the family: U2 is a small nuclear RNA (snRNA) component of the spliceosome (involved in pre-mRNA splicing). The record is from Rfam by way of RNAcentral. Lineage: Eukaryota; Metazoa; Chordata; Mammalia; Chiroptera; Rhinolophidae.